Molecule: ribosomal RNA, 320 nt
Filed under: uncultured bacterium
Lineage: Bacteria
Description: bacterial SSU rRNA
Rfam family: Bacterial small subunit ribosomal RNA
Source: RNAcentral
GAUGAACGCUAGCGGAAGGCUUAAUACAUGCAAGUCGAGCGGUAAAAUCUGAGCAAUUGGAUUUGAGAGCGGCGCACGGGUGAGUAACGCGUACAUGACCUACCUUUAAGAUCGGGAUAGCCCUGGGAAACUGGGAUUAAUACCGGAUGUGAUAAUAAGUAUAGAGAUUUAUUAUUAAAGCUGAGGCGCUUAGAGAUGGGUGUGCGUCUGAUUAGCUAGUUGGUAGGGUAAAGGCCUACCAAGGCGACGAUCAGUAGGGGCGUGAGAGCGUGAUCCCCCANACGGGUACUGAGACACGGACCCGAUCCUACGGGAGCAGC